CUGGCACCCAAUUGUCCAAGCUGGGCCCUGUCCCAGCACAGUCGGAAGCCUCUUUGCCUGCGGGUGGACGCACCCAUGGGAAUUCCCGGUUGUGGGAGAGGCUGUCCAGUGCUUGGCUGGGACAGGGGGCUCCCAGCUCACAGGCUGUGGCUCUGGAGGAUGGUGAAGUCUCAGGGUCCCUGGUGCUGUGUCUCAGUCCCUGCAAGGCCGCUGUCUUUGGUAGCAAUGGUGAGGGGCAUUGCAGGGCUUUGUUGUUUGAGUUCUUUGCUGCUUUGAGCUCUGGUGGAUGAGGCUGGAUUCCUGAAGCUGGUGUCUGUGUCUUUGCUGCUGCCCCUGCCCCCUGGCCAAAGAAACCUGCAAGGAUUUAAGGUUUUAGGCCUGGUAUUCCCUUUGGUGAGCUUCCUCCCAGGCCUGAUGUACUCCUGGAACUGCCAUGGAGGUGUCCUCCUCUCAGGACUGAGGAGCUGUAGGCUGGGUGCUGCUUCUGUUCUGCCCUGGGAACCCUUGGGAGGGCUUGGUGAGAAGCCUGAAGAUGGGCUGGGGAGACAUGAUCCGGGAUAUUCCCCCCUCCUGAUGUUUGGUACCAGUGCAGUAGGAAAAUCCAGGUUUCCAUCUAGCUCAGGAUUUCUUGGUCAAGGGGCCAAAAUUGUGGGAGAUGCUGGAAUUUGAGGGGGUAUUGUGCUAGCUCUGAUGUAGAGCUGCCUCCUGUCCUAAAGUAAACAGCACUCGCUGCAACUGGCAGACCUCUGUUUGUUUCCCUCAGAGCAUUUAGAGGGCUCUGUAGCUGCUGGGCUGUUCCCAACAGGUGCAAGGUCCUUGUCUGUGCCAUGUAAUUCAUCUUAUUUCACUGAGAAUUGAAGGAGCCACCUGGAAUUUGUGAGCUGAUGAAGGGAUUUCUGAGCCAAAGUUCCCAAGCUGAACAAGGCUGGCAGCUCUAGUGGACAUGCUGAUUCCUGGUAAUUGUGCCCUUCUGGCUGUGGAGCACCUUGGGGAAGCAGUGGGCUGAAGCUGUUCUUGUCUCUGGCAGUUGUGGGGCACACUUGGAUCUCUGCUCCAGCUGUUCUGGGCAGAGCUGUCCUGCCCUUUCAAGCAGCCCUUCCUUUCCUGGGCAGUUGAUCCGUGCUGUACUUGAGGGAGAGAUCUUGGUUGUGGCUGUGUCCUGCCUGCCUCGACUGGCAAAUGCUGCGGUUGUGGUUGUCGCGUGGCCGUGGGGAUCCUGGGGACAGUACCCUGGGGCGAGUGCAGUGAUCCCUGAGGAUGAAGAGAGGCUUGGGAUGAGGCGAAGAGACUUGGAGACACCAUUUUCCCAGAAUGACACUUCUGCUGAAAGCUCCUGCUCAGAAAGUGAAUGUAACCUUGUCUUCUCCGAGUCACCGACAAGCACGUGACAAAGAAGGGGACCCAGAAGUUCUCGGGGCCCUGGCAGCGAGAGCAACAGCAAAUGGUGUUGGAGAGUUUCUGUGAGCCCCUGUUUGUGAGUCUUGUUUGGGGUUGUCCCUUUGUCCCCUCUGGAGGCGCUCCUUGAGCGUGUUCAGGCUGUGCCACGUCUGUCCCCGGCUGGAUGCAGGGUGUUCCAGGUGCUGCAAGGCUUUGGUCAAGUGGCUGGGAGACACUGGACCCUUGAUGAGCAUUGACUGUGCUUGUGGAGGGCCUGGCCACGUGGGCAUUCCUGGGAGGAGGAGUGCCCUGGAGUGAGUGCAGUGACCCCUAAAGUUGGAGAGGUGCUUGGGAUGACACAAGGAGGCUUUGGAGAAACCAUUUUCCAGACUCACACUUGUGUUGAAAGCUCUGCGGCAGUGCUGAGUGUUGCAGAGUGGCUUGAAGGGUUUGCGAGAGCCGACCAGGGACUGGAGGAAUCGGCUUCAGCAGGGUCCCUGGCACAUGCCGGACAAGAACUGACACAGAAUUUCUUGGGACCCUGGCAGAGAGAGAGAGAAGCAGCAAACGGUUAAGAAAGGAUCUGGAUGGGAAAACAGCUUGUUUUCCAUGAAACCCUCAUGUGGAACAUCUGAACAAAGAGGAUGGGAUGAGACUUCUUGGAACCUAGAAAUUGAAAAUGGAGUUGCUGAGAUAAGUUUUAACAGUAAGAAAGCAGCAAGUUCUCUAGGGUAUGACAGUCUGUGAGCACUGGACGGGUCCUAUUUCUAUAUUGUGGCAUCAGUGGUGGAGUCUAUGGUGCUGUGUCUAGCUCUGGGGCCUCUGACAUGAGAAGGACAUGAACCUGCUGAAAUGACUCCAGAGGAGAAAUAAGGGCUAAAGAACCUCUCCUAUAAAGG
Long non-coding RNA from Hirundo rustica (Barn swallow), 2276 nucleotides. RefSeq lists it as uncharacterized. The record is from RefSeq and is a predicted model, not a curated record. The transcript has 11 exons. NCBI's taxonomy places the organism in Eukaryota, Metazoa, Chordata, Aves, Passeriformes, Hirundinidae.